AACAGGAUUAGAUACCCUGGUAGUCCACGCCGUAAACGAUGUCGACUUGGAGGUUGUUCCCUUGAGGAGUGGCUUCCGGAGCUAACGCGUUAAGUCGACCGCCUGGGGAGUACGGCCGCAAGGUUAAAACUCAAAUGAAUUGACGGGGGCCCGCACAAGCGGUGGAGCAUGUGGUUUAAUUCGAUGCAACGCGAAGAACCUUACCUACUCUUGACAUCCAGAGAACUUAGCAGAGAUGCUUUGGUGCCUUCGGGAACUCUGAGACAGGUGCUGCAUGGCUGUCGUCAGCUCGUGUUGUGAAAUGUUGGGUUAAGUCCCGCAACGAGCGCAACCCUUAUCCUUUGUUGCCAGCGGUUCGGCCGGGAACUCAAAGGAGACUGCCAGUGAUAAACUGGAGGAAGGUGGGGAUGACGUCAAGUCAUCAUGGCCCUUACGAGUAGGGCUACACACGUGCUACAAUGGCGCAUACAAAGAGAAGCGACCUCGCGAGAGCAAGCGGACCUCAUAAAGUGCGUCGUAGUCCGGAUCGGAGUCUGCAACUCGACUCCGUGAAGUCGGAAUCGCUAGUAAUCGUAGAUCAGAAUGCUACGGUGAAUACGUUCCCGGGCCUUGUACACACCGCCCGUCACACCAUGGGAGUGGGUUGCAAAAGAAGUAGGUAGCUUAACCUUCGGGAGGGCGCUUACCACGGUGUGGCCGAUGACUGGGGUGAAGUCGUAACAAGGUAACC
This 730-nucleotide ribosomal RNA is filed under the name uncultured bacterium. RNAcentral's name for it is "bacterial SSU rRNA". It matches the Rfam family "Bacterial small subunit ribosomal RNA", at positions 771 to 1501 of the family's 1533-position model. The record is from RNAcentral.